AAAAACAUCUUCUUUUGUUUAUAUAAAAGAUAUGGCCUGCCCUAUGAAUAUUAAAUGGCUGCAGUAUUUUGACUGUACAAAGGUAGCAUAAUCACUUGUCCUUUAAUUGAGGUCUGGAAUGAAUGGUUUGAUGAAAUAUGUUCUUUUUUUAUUUUAUAGUAAAAAAUUAAUUUUAUAGUCAAAAAGCUAUAAUAUAUUUAUAAGACGAGAAGACCCUAUAGAACUUUACUUAAAAUUUGGAAGGAAUGUUUUAGUAUUUGAAUCGUUCUUUUCAUUUUAAAAGUUUUGUUGGGGUGACAGAAAAAAUAUCUAAACUUUUUUUAUUUUACAUACUUAUAAGUAUAUAUUUGACCCUUUAUUUGGGAAUAAGAUCAAGUUACCUUAGGGAUAACAGCGUUAUUGUUUUGGAGAGUUCUUAUCGAUAAAACAGUUUGCGACCUCGAUGUUGGAUUAAAAUAAGAUAUAGGGGUAGAUUAUUAUAAUCUGGGUCUGUUCGACCCUUAAAUUUUUACAUGAUCUGAGU
Molecule: ribosomal RNA, 523 nt
Filed under: Saileria bella
Lineage: Eukaryota; Metazoa; Arthropoda; Insecta; Hemiptera; Miridae
Description: partial 16S ribosomal RNA
Rfam family: Bacterial large subunit ribosomal RNA
Source: RNAcentral